AUUGAACGCUGGCGGCAUGCCUUACACAUGCACGUCGAACGGCAGCACGGGUGCUUGCCCCUGGUGGCGAGUGGCGAACGGGUGAGUAAUACAUCGGAACAUGUCCUGUAGUGGGGGAUAGCCCGGCGAAAGCCGGAUUAAUACCGCAUACGAUCUACGGAUGAAAGCGGGGGACCUUCGGGCCUCGCGCUAUAGGGUUGGCCGAUGGCUGAUUAGCUAGUUGGUGGGGUAAAGGCCUACCAAGGCGACGAUCAGCAGCUGGUCUGAGAGGACGACCAGCCACACUGGGACUGAGACACGGCCCAGACUCCUACGGGAGGCAGCAGUGGGGAAUUUUGGACAAUGGGCGAAAGCCUGAUCCAGCAAUGCCGCGUGUGUGAAGAAGGCCUUCGGGUUGUAAAGCACUUUUGUCCGGAAAGAAAUCCUUGGCCCUAAUACGGUCGGGGGAUGACGGUACCGGAAGAAUAAGCACCGGCUAACUACGUG
Molecule: ribosomal RNA, 486 nt
Filed under: uncultured bacterium
Lineage: Bacteria
Description: partial 16S ribosomal RNA
Rfam family: Bacterial small subunit ribosomal RNA
Source: RNAcentral